This is a non-coding RNA of Bombyx mori (domestic silkworm), 84 nucleotides long. Lineage: Eukaryota; Metazoa; Arthropoda; Insecta; Lepidoptera; Bombycidae. The record is from Rfam.
UUAACUCAUAUUUGUAUGGAAUGGGAUCGUUUGCCUACGUUUGCCGUUAGGGGCGCAGUUCCAACUGCAUACAAAAUUGGGUUA